This 68-nucleotide transfer RNA is filed under the name Persicaria tenella. Its description in RNAcentral is "partial tRNA-Leu". Lineage: Eukaryota; Viridiplantae; Streptophyta; Magnoliopsida; Caryophyllales; Polygonaceae. The record is from RNAcentral.
GGUUAGACGCUACGGACUUAAAUCCGUCGACUUUAUAAAUCGUGAGGGUUCAAGUCCCUCUAUCCCCA